This 482-nucleotide ribosomal RNA is filed under the name uncultured bacterium. RNAcentral describes it as "partial 16S ribosomal RNA". It matches the Rfam family "Bacterial small subunit ribosomal RNA", at positions 28 to 507 of the family's 1533-position model. The record is from RNAcentral.
AUUGAACGCUGGCGGCAUGCCUUACACAUGCAAGUCGAACGGUAACGGGCCUUCGGGUGCCGACGAGUGGCGCACGGGCGAGUAAUACACCGGAACGUGCCCGAUCCUGGGGGAUAACGAGGCGAAAGCUUUGCUAAUAUCGUAUACGAUCUACGGAUGAAAGCAGGGGAGCGCAAGGCCUUGUGCGGGCGGAGCGGGCGGUGGCCGCUUAGGUUGUUGGUGGGAUUAAAGCUUACCAAGCCCACGAUCUGUAGCUGGACGGAGAGGAUGAUCAGCCGCCUGAGGACUGGAACGCGGACCAGACGACUACGGGAGGCCGCAGUGGGGAAUUGUGGGCAGUGGGGGCAAGCAUUGUACAGCGAGCCCGCGUGCAAGGUGGAGGCCUUCGGGUUGUGAACUGCUUUUGUAGGGAACGAAAAGCCUUCGUUUGAUACAGGAGGGUCGUGACGGUACCGUAAGAAGAAGCACCGGCUAACUACGUG